AUGGACAGAGAACAAGCAUUCAGAUAAAGUUAGUCUAAGUGAUUGCAGAGCAGGUUAUGCUGUGUUCGGCCGCUGAUGCAGCCUUCAGGACUGGGUUUGUAUUCCGCAAAGUAGCAGAGGCUGAAUCAGGCUGGCAGCCUGUUUCUUAGUGAGAGCCAAGGGAGGAAGUCAGCUUCCUCACCCCUAUAGCUGCCUCAUUGGGCUGAGGUCACUUCCUUUUGCCCCCCCAGCCCUUCUCCAGGCCUGCCCAAUCAGCAAGGCCCUGUGUGGGCCCCCACCCCUCUUAGAGCACCGUGCAGACUCUGGAUAUAGUUACAAGGCCACGGGGGACUGUCAGUUCUCUCUCCCUUUCUUUCGCUAUCCUCCCCUCUCCCUCCUCCCAUUCUGUUUUUCUGAGUCUCCCGGGUGUUCUUCGCUGCCACCACCCUGUCCCCCUGCACUCCUAAGAAAAUCCUUUAGAUGAGAACUGCUCCUGCGUCUGCUCCCUCUAAGCAUCCCUGACACCAGCAAACCUGAUGUUGGAGUUAUGUGUUAAUAAACCAACAAGAACUGCUGUUCAGCAGACUCACUGCUGUACACACAAGCCACUGCAGGAUGCUGGAUGGCAGCAGAAGAGAAAGCUUCGGGCCUGUAAACAGUAGAAAUUGAGACAUCGUUCUACUUGGCAUGCUGAGAUCGAUUUUCAGGUCACAUGCAGGAGGACAGAGGGAAGAGAAGACGCAAAAAAAAAAAAUAAAAAAAAACGGCUGGGAAGAGACUUGUGAGUCACUUCCUAUUUAGAAAGAAAAUGUUUUGCAAGCUUCUCUGCAGACACAGAGCUCCAACAGUGGUUUAGAUUCUCGCAACAAAGUAGAGAGCGAAGAGAUGUGAAUCAGGACAGACAGCCCCUGACUGCCAUACCACAGCGCCUGGUGUCAAACAGAUGUGCAACUUGGCAGCUAUGCUCCCCAGAAAACAGAGAACCCAUGGAUUUCAGGGUGGUUUUUAGUCGUGCUACCCUCCCCAUCUUUCAGCACUCCUCCUGUCCCCCCAAACAGUCUGAACUCCCCCACACUGUGCCCCUGCAGUCACCCUCCCUCAUCACCUCCACACAGGGGUCCCCUGACAGGUAAUCUUGUCCCUCGAAUGUGAAAUCUCCGACAGCGAUGCCCCGCGCUUUUACCCCCUGCCUCCUCGGCUGAUGGGUAAAUUGGAAUGGCGCACCCUGCUGGCGCGGAGAGCUCUGAACAGACAGCAGUACACACACGCUGGGGCGCCCCCCUCACGCGCUUCUGUCUAAUAUAGUGGACAUGCACACUCGUUUUCGAGCCGCGAUAUCUAUGCACAGACACAUGUCCAUGCAUGUAUGUGCGCCGGGGAACACAAAAAGCCAAACGCUCCAAAGCUUUAGGUAAACCACAUACGCAGCCUCAUAAACACAAAUACGUACAGACGCUCUGUGGGUUCAGUCUCAUCUGCAUACAGAUUGGAUACAAAAUAAAAAAAAAAGGCACAGAUACUGAGCUGAGUCAAUAUAUGUUGAAAUUUAAAUAAGCAUCAUCUGAAAUGGCUCAGCUUGUGUCCUUUUUCCAGAAACUGCACCUGAUUUGCGUUGCCAUGGUUUCUAUUAUGUGUACACCGUUGGGGAGAAGAGACAAAAUAGAUGAAAAAGUAGAAACUAGAGAAUAGAUGUGCAUGUUUUUUUGGCGCCCCAUGCGUGGAUAUGGUAAGCACUACUAACUCUGACGUUUAUAACAAGGACACUGUAGCAUCAAUUUAUUACUAAGAGAGGAGGUUUGUUUUUUUUUCUUUGAAUCAGCCAUGGUUUCUAAGAGGCUUGCCAUGGCUGUCCAAAACUUUGCCACCCUCUCUCUCUGCAGUCAAUGUUAUGAAGCGUGCAUCUAUGGUUGAGUCCACCCUCAAAUCGCAGGGACAUCCUAAAUAGUCGGUGUGACCUAACGGGGCUAAAGAUCACUGCAGCAGAAGCCACAGAGGCCUCCCUGUCAAAGACGGUGCAUUUGCGGUGGGAUGGGGGAGGCAGGGGUGAAGAGAAGCCAGAGGGAGUGAGCCGGAGACAUGACAUACAUUUCAUUAUGUUUAAACCAACUGUGGGUUCAACUCAGAGCCUUGGAUUUCCAGCCCUGUCUCAGAGGAUGGAGUAAGUGGAGGUGUAAGAGAAUAGUGUUUUACAAAAAACACAAUAGGUAGGUGGACAAAGGCAGGCAGCUGGACUAAUUGCUCAGGAGCUUGUAGGGAUAUUUUUCUAAGUACCUCUGUUUGAAGCACAACUGACAAGAUAUUUGUGGAAAAUGUCACCAUAGAAAAGAUAAUAAGACGUAAAGUGUGAUAGCACUAAAAACAAAUAAAUGUUUUUUGUGGGGGGUUUUUUUUCUCCAUAAAAUAGGCACAUAUACGUAUUAAGACACAGUGAACUUCUCCACUUUUAUCCAAAGACAAACCUCUAUCGUCAUCUUUCUAAAAUAAUGGCUUAUGUCACUCUCAGCACCUUUUUCUUUCCAAUAGAUGAUUUAGACAAUUGAAAAAAAAUAUAUUUUUGGCGAAAAAUGACUUAGGCCAUAAUUUUAGGAAGGUGAUGGUAAGUGGCCUAAUGCUACAGAAAUCAGUAAACAAUUUUAAAUUGUAUGCAGAAUUACAAAUGCACAUUUAAAAGAAAUGUUUAAAAAAAAGGUGUAGUAUGCUUCUUCUCUUUUGCCUCUUUACCAAAAUGAUAUUCAAUGAAACUAUCUUCAGCAGCUCACCUGUUUAUUACUGCAUGGUAGUAUAAAUUCAUCUGUGAAGAUUUAAGAGGUUUGUCACAGAACAUUAGAGAACAAACUGCACCAUUAAGACUAAGGAACAUAGAAGAUGGGUUAGGAAUAGAGAUGGGGAUAAUGGUUAGGCUAUAAAACAACAUCACACAGUAUUUUGAAAAUCAACAUGACAUCCAUAAGUUGUAAACAAAUCUAGCCUUUAUGUAAGAAAAGAGAAACAAAGACAUUUUUGAAAGAAUGCCAUAAAAAGUCUCAGUUGCAAUAAACUAUGCAGGUCACGUGGUUUCAAUCAAUGGAAAUAGAUGGUCUGGAC
Poecilia latipinna (sailfin molly) is the source of this 3063-nucleotide long non-coding RNA. RefSeq lists it as uncharacterized. NCBI's taxonomy places the organism in Eukaryota, Metazoa, Chordata, Actinopteri, Cyprinodontiformes, Poeciliidae. The record is from RefSeq and is a predicted model, not a curated record. The transcript is spliced from 4 exons.